UCUUGGCAAUAUGAUGGGAGGCUUAGGU
Molecule: non-coding RNA, 28 nt
Filed under: Homo sapiens (human)
Lineage: Eukaryota; Metazoa; Chordata; Mammalia; Primates; Hominidae
Source: RNAcentral